RNAcentral lists this ribosomal RNA (694 nucleotides) under uncultured Arcobacter sp. RNAcentral describes it as "bacterial SSU rRNA". It matches the Rfam family "Bacterial small subunit ribosomal RNA", at positions 56 to 763 of the family's 1533-position model. The record is from RNAcentral. Lineage: Bacteria; Pseudomonadati; Campylobacterota; Epsilonproteobacteria; Campylobacterales; Arcobacteraceae.
UGCAGUCGCACGAGACGGGUUAAGCUUGCUUUAACUGUCAGCUAAGUGGCGCACGGGUGAGUAAUAUAUAGGUAACAUGCCUUCGAGAAGGGGAUAACGUUUGGAAACGAACGCUAAUACCCUAUAUGCCUUUAAGACUUAAGUCUGCAAGGGAAGUAUUUAUAGCUCGAAGAUUGGCCUGUACAGCAUCAGUUAGUUGGUGAGGUAAUGGCUCACCAAGACAAUGACGCUUAACUGGUUUGAGAGGAUGAUCAGUCACACUGGAACUGAGACACGGUCCAGACUCCUACGGGAGGCAGCAGUGGGGAAUAUUGCACAAUGGACGAAAGUCUGAUGCAGCAACGCCGCGUGGAGGAUGACACAUUUCGGUGCGUAAACUCCUUUUAUAUAGGAAGAUAAUGACGGUACUAUAUGAAUAAGCACCGGCUAACUCCGUGCCAGCAGCCGCGGUAAUACGGAGGGUGCAAGCGUUACUCGGAAUCACUGGGCGUAAAGAGAAUGUAGGCGGGUAGAUAAGUCAGAAGUGAAAUCCAAUAGCUCAACUAUUGAACUGCUUUUGAAACUGUUUACCUAGAAUAUGGGAGAGGUAGAUGGAAUUUCUGGUGUAGGGGUAAAAUCCGUAGAGAUCAGAAGGAAUACCGAUUGCGAAGGCGAUCUACUGGGAACAUUAUUGACGCUGAGAUUCGAAAGCGUG